UACGUAGGGGGCGAGUGUUGUCCGGAUUUAUUGGGCGUAAAGAGCUCGUAGGCGGUUCGGUAAGUUGGAUGUGAAAUCUCCAGGCUCAACUUGGAGGGGUCAUUCGAUACUGCCAUGACUAGAGUUCGGUAGGGGAGUGUGGAAUUCCUGGUGGAGCGGUGAAAUGCGCAGAUAUCAGGAGGAACACCCGUAGCGAAGGCGGCACUCUGGGCCGGAACUGACGCUGAGGAGCGAAAGCGUGGGGAGCGAACAGG
RNAcentral lists this ribosomal RNA (254 nucleotides) under uncultured bacterium. RNAcentral describes it as "partial 16S ribosomal RNA". It matches the Rfam family "Bacterial small subunit ribosomal RNA", at positions 524 to 776 of the family's 1533-position model. The record is from RNAcentral.